Molecule: non-coding RNA, 183 nt
Filed under: Betaproteobacteria bacterium
Lineage: Bacteria; Pseudomonadati; Pseudomonadota; Betaproteobacteria
Description: 6S RNA
Rfam family: 6S / SsrS RNA
About the family: E. coli 6S RNA was the first non coding RNA to be sequenced, but its function was unknown until recently. It consists of 184 nucleotides that fold into an extended hairpin structure with a large single-stranded internal bulge.
Source: RNAcentral
AAUUCCCUGCGGUGUACGCGCAAAGGCCUCUUAGUUCCUUGAACCGAUGCGCAUUGCGCAAGGUUGUUGGGCUCGCGUCGCGGUGCGAUCGGCACGCGUCUGCUGAACCUAAACGUCGCGGACAACGACCCCCCUGAACCGAUGGUUCAGGACAUCAGGCCGGGCGGCACGCGCGGGGGCUUA